This 76-nucleotide transfer RNA is filed under the name Candidatus Curtissbacteria bacterium RIFCSPHIGHO2_12_FULL_38_9b. Its description in RNAcentral is "tRNA-Arg". It matches the Rfam family "tRNA". Rfam says of the family: Transfer RNA (tRNA) molecules are approximately 80 nucleotides in length. The record is from RNAcentral. Lineage: Bacteria; Candidatus Curtissiibacteriota.
GUCCCUGUAGUUUAACGGAUAGAACGCUUCCCUCCGGAGGAAGAGGUUGGCCGUUCGAAUCGGCCCAGGGACACAA